Long non-coding RNA from Columba livia (rock pigeon), 674 nucleotides. RefSeq lists it as uncharacterized. Lineage: Eukaryota; Metazoa; Chordata; Aves; Columbiformes; Columbidae. The record is from RefSeq and is a predicted model, not a curated record. The transcript is spliced from 2 exons.
UAUAUGCUCCUGUUUUAUGUUUUUAACACAUGCUGUUGCAAUUUAGAGUUAAAUGUGUAUCUACUCAUUCAUCUGGAAAACUUUCAUUUUAGAGGUUGGGUCAGAAAGUUUACUUCCAUGACUAAUAAUAAUUCCAUGUCAACGAAGCCUUCUGAAAAGUGUUCAGUGUCUUAGCUUGUUUAUAAGGAAAGAGUGUAAUACGCCGAGUGAAAAUUGUAUGUUGUCUUCAUUCCCACAGUGGGAGACUCUGCCAGCCCAAGUACAACAGCAGAUUGUCAAUGUGGACACAAUUUAGAAUGGCAAAUCUGAACGGCGUGCUGGUGUUUUGCUUGAGUGGGACUUGCACAGGCGACUUACUGGUGGAGGUCUAAGGGAUGAGCGGAGCUCAGAAGUUGUGCUAAAGACCGAGCCAAGGUGGCAGGGGUGAAAUUACGUUUGAUGGAAGAAUACUUAUGGUUGAGAAGAUUUUCCUGUAAUUAUGUGCGUCUCACAAGUUGCUAUAGAGAAAGGGUAUAAAGACAGAGAGUGGAAAAGGAAGAGAUGGCAACAGAGGGGAAAAUGGGAGUCAAAUCAGCUGGCAGGGCCUGAACAACUUCUUGCACAGCUGGGACAUCCUAUUGCAGAUUCUAUGAGGAACUGCUGAAGUAUCAGUGUUGCACACUGGGAAGUGCAGA